CGGCUCACCAAGUCGACGAUCAGUAGCCGGACUGAGAGGUUGAACGGCCACAUUGGGACUGAGACACGGCCCAGACUCCUACGGGAGGCAGCAGUGGGGGAUAUUGCACAAUGGAGGAAACUCUGAUGCAGCGACGCCGCGUGAGGGAAGACGGUCUUCGGAUUGUAAACCUCUGUCUUUAGGGACGAAAAAAUGACGGUACCUAAGGAGGAAGCCACGGCUAACUAC
RNAcentral lists this ribosomal RNA (228 nucleotides) under uncultured bacterium. Its description in RNAcentral is "partial 16S ribosomal RNA". It matches the Rfam family "Bacterial small subunit ribosomal RNA", at positions 261 to 504 of the family's 1533-position model. The record is from RNAcentral.